This 1252-nucleotide ribosomal RNA is filed under the name Sugarcane phytoplasma (uncharacterized). RNAcentral describes it as "bacterial SSU rRNA". It matches the Rfam family "Bacterial small subunit ribosomal RNA", at positions 153 to 1399 of the family's 1533-position model. The record is from RNAcentral. Lineage: Bacteria; Bacillati; Mycoplasmatota; Mollicutes; Acholeplasmatales; Acholeplasmataceae.
GAAACGACUGCUAAGACUGGAUAGGAAAUAAAAAGGCAUCUUUUUAUUUUUAAAAGACCUUUUUCGGAAGGUAUGCUUAAAGAGGGGCUUGCGUCACAUUAGUUAGUUGGUAGGGUAAAGGCCUACCAAGACGAUGAUGUGUAGCUGGACUGAGAGGUUGAACAGCCACAUUGGGACUGAGACACGGCCCAAACUCCUACGGGAGGCAGCAGUAGGGAAUUUUCGGCAAUGGAGGAAACUCUGACCGAGCAACGCCGCGUGAACGACGAAGUACUUCGGUAUGUAAAGUUCUUUUAUUGAAGAAGAAACAAUAGUGGAAAAACUAUCUUGACGUUAUUCAAUGAAUAAGCCCCGGCUAACUAUGUGCUAGCAGCCGCGGUAAUACAUAGGGGGCGAGCGUUAUCCGGAAUUAUUGGGCGUAAAGGGUGCGUAGGCGGUUUAAUAAGUCUCUAGUUUAAUUUCAACGCUUAACGUUGUCCUGCUAGAGAAACUGUUUAACUAGAGUGAGAUAGAGGUAAGCGGAAUUCCAUGUGUAGCGGUAAAAUGUGUAAAUAUAUGGAGGAACACCAGAGGCGUAGGCGGCUUACUGGGUCUUUACUGACGCUGAUGCACGAAAGCGUGGGGAGCAAACAGGAUUAGAUACCCUGGUAGUCCACGCCGUAAACUAUGAGUACUAAGUGUCGGGGUUAAACUCGGUACUGAAGUUAACACAUUAAGUACUCCGCCUGAGUAAUACGUACGCAAGUAUGAAACUUAAAGGAAUUGACGGGAUCCCGCACAAGCGGUGGAUCAUGUUGUUUAAUUCGAAGAUACACGAAAAACCUUACCAGGUCUUGACAUACUCUGCAAAGCUAUAGAAAUAUAGUGGAGGUUAUCAGGGAUACAGGUGGUGCAUGGUUGUCGUCAGCUCGUGUCGUGAGAUGUUAGGUUAAGUUCUAAAACGAGCGCAACCCCUGUCGUUAAUUGCCAGCACGUUAUGGUGGGGACUUUAGCGAGACUGCCAAUGAAAAAUUGGAGAAAGGUGGGGAUUACGUCAAAUCAUCAUGCCCCUUAUGAUCUGGGCUACAAACGUGAUACAAUGGCUAUUACAAAGAGUAGCUGAAACGCGAGUUUUUGUCAAAUCUCAAAAAAAUAGUCUCAGUUCGGAUUGAAGUCUGCAACUCGACUUCAUGAAGUUGGAAUCGCUAGUAAUCGCGAAUCAGCAUGUCGCGGUGAAUACGUUCACGGGGUUUGGUACACAAAUCACUAGUCA